This 550-nucleotide ribosomal RNA is filed under the name Anaerococcus degeneri. RNAcentral describes it as "bacterial SSU rRNA". It matches the Rfam family "Bacterial small subunit ribosomal RNA", at positions 1 to 553 of the family's 1533-position model. The record is from RNAcentral. Lineage: Bacteria; Bacillati; Bacillota; Tissierellia; Tissierellales; Peptoniphilaceae.
UUUAAUGAGAGUUUGAUCCUGGCUCAGGAUUAACGCUGGCGGCGUGCAUAACACAUGCAAGUCGAACGAUGAAACUUAAAUGAUCUCUUCGGAGUGAACUUAAGUGGAUUAGUGGCGGACGGGUGAGUAACGCGUGAGUAACCUGCCUUAGAGAAGGGGAUAGCCUUUGGAAACGAAGAAUAAUACCCUAUGACAUGAUAGCCUCGCAUGAGAUUAUCAUCAAAGAUUUAUCGCUCUAAGAUGGACUUGCGUCUGAUUAGUUAGUUGGUGGGGUAACGGCCCACCAAGACAGCGAUCAGUAGCCGGCUUGAGAGAGUGUACGGCCACAUUGGGACUGAGACACGGCCCAGACUCCUACGGGAGGCAGCAGUGGGGAAUUUUGCACAAUGGGGGAAACCCUGAUGCAGCGACGCCGCGUGAUUUAGAAGGCCUUCGGGUUGUAAAAAUCUUUUCUAUGGGAAGAACAUGACAGUACCAUAGGAAUAAGGACCGGCUAAUUACGUGCCAGCAGCCGCGGUAAUACGUAAGGUCCGAGCGUUGUCCGGAAUCA